This 239-nucleotide long non-coding RNA is filed under the name Elaeis guineensis (African oil palm). RNAcentral describes it as "long non-coding RNA (EGUI_LNC073600)". The record is from RNAcentral. Lineage: Eukaryota; Viridiplantae; Streptophyta; Magnoliopsida; Arecales; Arecaceae.
AAGGGUAGGAAUCCAACCAGCUGGGUGACAUGGUUAGUAUUAGAGCUAUCAAAAUAGGCUGAUCCGGCCUGGUCUGAUUUUAACCCACGUGGGCUGUGAUUAUAUAGGUUGGGCCGAGCUCGGCUCAUUUGUUAAAAGAGGUCAUAAAAAUUCAGUAUGUUUCUAAUCCAUGUGGACUGUGGGUUAGGGCCAGGUCGGUCUACAUUCUUUUUUUUCUUUCUUUUUUUUUCUAGAGCCGG